AGACACCCAGUUAAAUCUGAAUUUCAGGUAAACAACGUAUUUCAAACAGUUAAGGUAUGUGUCAUUACUUAUUUGGGAUAUACUUAUACUAAAAUAUUCAUUUUUUCAUGAAUCAUUAAGUAGAAAUUUAACU
This 133-nucleotide microRNA precursor is filed under the name Erinaceus europaeus (western European hedgehog). Its description in RNAcentral is "miRNA (ENSEEUG00000019578.1)". Lineage: Eukaryota; Metazoa; Chordata; Mammalia; Eulipotyphla; Erinaceidae. The record is from RNAcentral.